GACGAACGCUGGCGGCGUGCUUAACACAUGCAAGUCGAACGGUAAGGCCCUUCGGGGUACACGAGUGGCGAACGGGUGAGUAACACGUGGGUGAUCUGCCCUGCACUUCGGGAUAAGCCUGGGAAACUGGGUCUAAUACCGGAUAGGACUCCUGGCUUCAUGGUUGGGGGUGGAAAGCUUUGUCGGUGUGGGAUGGGCCCUCGUCCUAGCAGCUUGUUGGUGGGGUAAUGGCCUACCCAGGCGACGACGGGUAGCCGGCCUGGGAGGGUGACCGGCCACACUGGGGCUGGGAUACGGCCCAGACUCCUGCGGGAGGCAGCAGGGGGGAAUAUUGCACAAUGGGCGCAAGCCUGAUGCAGCGACGCCGCGUGAGGGAUGACGGCCUUCGGGUUGUAAACCUCUUUCAGCAUCGACGAAGCGAAAGUGACGGUAGGUGCAGAAGAAGGACCGGCCAACUACGUGCCAGCAGCCGCAGUAA
Molecule: ribosomal RNA, 478 nt
Filed under: uncultured bacterium
Lineage: Bacteria
Description: partial 16S ribosomal RNA
Rfam family: Bacterial small subunit ribosomal RNA
Source: RNAcentral